ACUCCUACGGGAGGCAGCAGUGGGGAAUAUUGCACAAUGGGGGAAACCCUGAUGCAGCCAUGCCGCGUGUGUGAAGAAGGCCUUCGGGUUGUAAAAGCAUCUUUCAGUAAGGGAGGAAGGUACGGUGUAGUUAACACCUGCACUAUUUGACGUUACCUACAGAAGAAGCACCGGCUAACUCCGUGCCAGCAGCCGCGGUAAUACGGAGGGUGCGAGCGUUAAUCGGAAUUACUGGGCGUAAAGCGCAUGCAGGCGGCCUGUUAAGUCAGAUGUGAAAGCCCGGGGCUUAACCUCGGAAUUGGCAUUUGAAACUGGUAGGCUAGAGUCUUGUAGAGGGGGGUGAGAAUU
This 348-nucleotide ribosomal RNA is filed under the name uncultured bacterium. Its description in RNAcentral is "bacterial SSU rRNA". It matches the Rfam family "Bacterial small subunit ribosomal RNA", at positions 335 to 669 of the family's 1533-position model. The record is from RNAcentral.